Molecule: ribosomal RNA, 341 nt
Filed under: uncultured Lachnospiraceae bacterium
Lineage: Bacteria; Bacillati; Bacillota; Clostridia; Lachnospirales; Lachnospiraceae
Description: bacterial SSU rRNA
Rfam family: Bacterial small subunit ribosomal RNA
Source: RNAcentral
UUGGUUGUCGUCAGCUCGUGUCGUGAGAUUGGUUUGGGUUAAGUCCCGCAACGAGCGCCAACCCUUAUUGAUAGUUACUAACGCGCAGAGGCGAGGACUCUAUUGAGACUGCCGGGGACAACUCGGAGGAAGUGGGACGACGUCAAAUCAUCAUGCCCCUUAUGACCUGGGCUACACACGUGCUACAAUGGCCGACACAGAGAGAAGCGAAAGCGCAAGCCGGAGCGGAUCUCACAAAAGCGGUCGAAGUUCGGAUUGUGGGCUGCAACCCGCCCACAUGAAGAUGGAGUUGCUAGUAACCGCAGGUCAGCUAUACUGCGGUGAAUACGUUCCCGGGGCUU